UGAGCACUAGGUGUCGGGCUCGCAAGAGUUCGGUGCCGGAGCAAACGCAUUAAGUGCUCCGCCUGGGGAGUACGCACGCAAGUGUGAAACUCAAAGGAAUUGACGGGGACCCGCACAAGCAGCGGAGCAUGUGGUUUAAUUCGAAGCAACGCGAAGAACCUUACCAGGACUUGACAUCCCACUGAAAGCUCGGGUAAAGCUGAGCCCUUCUUCGGAACAGUGGAGACAGGUGGUGCAUGGCUGUCGUCAG
This 250-nucleotide ribosomal RNA is filed under the name uncultured bacterium. Its description in RNAcentral is "partial 16S ribosomal RNA". It matches the Rfam family "Bacterial small subunit ribosomal RNA", at positions 810 to 1058 of the family's 1533-position model. The record is from RNAcentral.